AAAUUACAUCAUAACAUAGAUAUUGUGUUCAUAUAUAAAACUCUGGAAGUAUCUGGUCAUUAAUACCUUUGAUGACUAUCAGCCAUCAAAACUCGAAACCGCUGAUAUUUGCUGAGCAUCUUGGGAAAGACUUGCAAAUAUAUCAUUUCGUCACUAGGGCGUUUCUCCUGGCCUGCGAAAGGCUCAGUAACUGCUGAUGGGCCUCCUUUGUCCGGUUGCUGUGGGUCCGCCACGAUCCGUCUUCCGAUAGGGCGGAAGCUUCACUGUGCAUAGCCUCGCGCUUUUUACCCCUAAGCCCUUCAGCAAAACUGUGCCCUAAAACUAACCAUUUUCCCACGUGGGUAGUCUGCUUCCAGAACUACCACUACCCGCUCUUCCCCAAGCCCCAAGUGACCAAACCCAAACAAAACAGGCAAGCAGCCCCACCAGGCCAGAGCAAGGCUAAAUACCCGGGCAACUUUGAUACUUCUGAGGAUUUAAGAGUUGACAGGGUCAGAAGGCAAAAAACAAGUCCUUCAAAGAACUUCUCCAGCCUUGGAAAUCAGCUUCUCUGAAUGCAGGAUCUUUCACCUGUUGCCCCAUGAAAUCCCCAAGAUAACGUCUCAUUUCAAAAAAAGGUAAUACUUUAAAAUGGAGCAGUCUCAGCUGGACAGUGGUUGUGGUGUGUGCAUUUAAGCACAGCACUUGGGAACAGAGGUAGGCAGAUCUCUGAGUUUGAGGCCAGCCUUGUCUGCAAAGAGAUUUUCGUGACAGCCAGGGUGACACAGGGAGAAGACUCUGGAACUGUGGGGUAGUUUCAACCCCAUUUCCCUAAGUCCAAGCUUGGUAAACCAUCCCCCCCACGCCCCCACCAGGAUCAGUGUUUUUAAUAGAAGAGCCGUACUAGAACCUGAGGGCAUUAGAAUGUCAGAUCCAAUUUAUUCCUGAUGAAAUAUCUUCCUCAUGGUGCAAACAACCCCCUUAGGACCCUGGGAAAGCAGAAUUGCAGAUAAUAUGGUACAGACAGGUACUCAAUAAACAGGUUGAAGGAAUGAAUGUGUAAAUGAAG
This 1048-nucleotide long non-coding RNA is filed under the name Mus spicilegus (steppe mouse). RNAcentral's name for it is "lncRNA (ENSMSIG00000001002.1)". Lineage: Eukaryota; Metazoa; Chordata; Mammalia; Rodentia; Muridae. The record is from RNAcentral.